UACGUAGGCAGCGAGCGUUGUUUGGAGUUACUGGGCGUAAAGCGUGCGUAGGCGGUGCCAUAAGUCUGUUGUGAAAUCUCCCGGCUUAACUGGGAGGGUGCGGUGGAAACUGUGGUGCUGGAGUGUGGGAGAGGUAGGCGGAAUUCCCGGUGUAGUGGUGAAAUGCGUAGAUAUCGGGAGGAACACCAGUGGCGAAGGCGGCUUUCUGGCCUGUUCGUUGACGCUGAGGCGCGAAAGCUAGGGGGAGCGAACAGGA
RNAcentral lists this ribosomal RNA (256 nucleotides) under uncultured bacterium. RNAcentral describes it as "partial 16S ribosomal RNA". It matches the Rfam family "Bacterial small subunit ribosomal RNA", at positions 524 to 777 of the family's 1533-position model. The record is from RNAcentral.